CUCAUCGCCUCAUAUUGCAUGACAGCAUGAAGUAUGAAAAUAUGGAGGGAACAGACUGAAACAGAAACAAUGACUGAAAAACACGAAAAUAAUAAAAGUUAUAAAACGUAUGUGGACGGUAGGAAACGAUUAUAUUGAUAAUAAGGGAAUAUAUGCAGGUAUUUGAUUUGGCAGCGUGAACUGAAGACACCUGCAGCCGACAUUGACAGUGUUUGUUAUAUCAAAGCCUAUCGAAGGUGAGGAAAUUGUCAUUGUGCUCGUAUUUGUGCCAAAUCCACCAAUAGCAAUUUCCAAUUACCCUAUUGUUCGAGUCACAGAUAGGUAACUUUCCUAAAACAUUGCUAUUGCUUUAUAGUUGGGCAAAAAUACACACGUGAAGGUGAAGGACCAUAUUUAUGAAUAUAAAAUGUUGACUAUUAAACAUAAAUAAAUGGGAGUUUUAGUAUGUAGUUGUAGUAGCAGAUAACUGAAUUUUCUGUAAGUUGCGUGAUUUAACUGUAAGCUCUUAGCCAAUCAAAUUGCUUUUACCAACUACAAUGUAUAAUAAUUAACAAUUAUUGGCUGAAGGCGAGGUGAUUAUUGGUGAAUAAAAACCGAGAUGAAGUCGAGGUUUUUAUUCACAAUAAUCACCAAGCCUGAGGUAAAUAAUUGUUUUAGUAUAAUUUCAUAGGUGAUUAUUUGGGAAAAAAUUAAAAAGACACAUUUCUUUGUCAUUUAAUUGACAAAAUGACUUUGGCUGCCAUUUCAAAAAUUGCUUAGAAUUAUACUAAGCUGUUAUAUUCAUCUACAGGUGAAUAUAACAAAACCGAAAUUUGCAAAAUGACGGCUAGCCGUUUUGUGAAAGUUACUGAUCGAUAAAGAAAUAAGCGAAAUUAAAAUAAAUUCAGUCCCAAAAAGCACAAAAGACUUGUGUAAAAAUACUAAAACAAUUAUUCGCCUCAGGUUCGGUGAUUAUAUCGGGGAAUAUUCAAUAUUCACCUCGACUUCGCCUUGGUGAAUAUUCCCCGAUAAUCACCUCGCCUUUGGUGAAUAAUUGUUAAAUAUUGUUAUUCUAAUGAUGGAGUUUCCCAGCCAUCUCCCCUUCAAUAGGCUGUGGUUUAUAUAUGCAGUGGAACCCCGCUAUUAAUAUUAAACUGAGCUGGCCAUGGGAUUUAUUCUUAGUUCCACUGUUUAUAUAACAUACGGAUUUUAAAUUAUUUGCAAAGUAAACUUUGCCAAACACUGUGCUAUAACUUAGCUAACAGUAGUACAAACUCUGUCAGUUCUUUAGAGUGCACCGUAAUGUCUCACAAUUAGGAUGAUCAUGAAUAAUAAAACGACUAUACCUUAUUAAUUAUUAACAUAAUAAACGAAAUUCAACACCGACCUUGUUAAUUCGAACGCCAGUUCGAGUAAGUGGGGUUCUACUGUAUGUCACAAAUAAAAGCUGUAUCAAUUGGUCAUUGGAUCAGCCACAUUAAGUUAUUUUGUAGUUAUUAUUUCUUGUAAUUUGCCACUAAUUCCAUUUCCCUAACAUUAUCUCGAUCGUUUGUUUACUCCACUGUUAUAUAUAUUCAGUCGUUCAAUUUUGGUUGAAAAACAUGGACUGUUUUAAAGUUAUUGGAUCAAUGUUGCUCAUAUUUGCCUUCCUAAUUAACGUCGCUGAAGCUGACCUUGGAAAAGUUGGCAAAAGUACGUAUUUAUGAAUAUGAAAGAUGCUUUUGAUUGGUCAUUUCAUUUCUUAUCUGAACCGCCCUAUGGAUGAGCUCUGUUCAAAAUUUUACCUCUAGGAAUCAGAC
Molecule: long non-coding RNA, 1778 nt
Filed under: Paramuricea clavata
Lineage: Eukaryota; Metazoa; Cnidaria; Anthozoa; Malacalcyonacea; Plexauridae
Source: RNAcentral